UUUUGGAAGUCGGUUAAAAACACCUCCUCAGACGCAUUUGCCAAUCGACACUUAACGUAACGCUACAAUGAGCGUAACACUACAAUGGGUCAUCCUUUUUCUUGCAAGCCUUCAUCGAUUUAUUAGACGUUGUCACGUCAAAAAUUAAUAUUAUAUAUUUUUCAAAACUUAGUAACUGUGAAGUUUUUCGUGAUUAUUGCAGAAUAGAUUCCGAGUCAGCGGUACGUUCACUUUGACUAUAAUUAAGUAAUUCAUUAAAGCAGAAAUUAAUUUUAAUUUGUAAAAUGACAGUUGAAAAUUGCUUUUGUAGCCUGGCAUACUUGAACAAAUAAUUUUUGAUUUUAAAAUUUGUUUAAAUAUUUUUGUUGUUUAAAAUAAUUAUUUGUUUUUGCUUGUCAUCAUGUCAUUUGUCUAAAGUUGUCUGUAAGUGGUGUGUGUCACACAAAUAAUUAAAAGUACUUUCUAUUUUAUCCCAUUCAAAAAUAACCUUAUAUCAAAUUUACUAUUUAACGUGAAUAAGUAAUUGCACAGGCCCAAAAAUUAAAUAUUUCGAGAUACGAUAAAUUCAAGAAUGAUGGAGAAAAUUCCAAAAAAAAAAAAAAGAAAAAUAUGGU
This is a long non-coding RNA of Melitaea cinxia (Glanville fritillary), 614 nucleotides long. RefSeq lists it as uncharacterized. Lineage: Eukaryota; Metazoa; Arthropoda; Insecta; Lepidoptera; Nymphalidae. The transcript has 2 exons. The record is from RefSeq and is a predicted model, not a curated record.